RNAcentral lists this long non-coding RNA (921 nucleotides) under Marmota monax (woodchuck). The record is from RNAcentral. Lineage: Eukaryota; Metazoa; Chordata; Mammalia; Rodentia; Sciuridae.
UCUCUUUAAAAAAAAAAAAGCUUAACAACAACAAAACAAACAACCCAAUCAAUAAAUGGGCUAAGGAGCUGAACAGACACUUCUCAGAAGAAGAUACACAAUCGAUCAACAAAUAUAUGAAGAAAUGUUCAGCACCUCUAGUACUUAGAGAAAUGCAGAUCAUAACUAUAAGAUUUCAUUUCACAUCCGUCAGAAUGGCAGAAUACAAACAACAAUAAGUGUUGUCAAGCAUGUGGGGGAAAAGGCACACUCACACUUUGCUAGUGAGACUGCAAAUUGAUGCAACCAAUCUGGAAAUCAGUAUGGAGAUUCCUUAGAAAACUUGGAAUGAAAGUUUUGACCCAGCUAUCCCACCCCUUGGUCUAUACCAAAGGACUUAAAAACAGCAUACUAUAGUAACACAGCCACAUCGAUGUUAAUAGCAGCUCAAUUCACAAUAGCUAAACUGUGGAAGGAACCUAGAUGUCCUUCAAUAGAUGAAUGGGUUAAGAAACUUAGGUAUAUAUACACAAUGAACCAUUACUCAGCAUUAAAAGAGAAUAAAAUUAUGGCAAUUUGCAGGUAAAUAGAUGGAGUUGGAGAAUAUCAUGCUAGGGGAAGUAAGCCAAUCCCAAAAAACCAAAGGCCGAAUGUUCUCUCUGAUAAGUGGAUGCUGGAUCCAUAAUGGCGGGAGGGGGCAUGGGAAAAGUGGAGGAACUCUGAUUGGGCAAAGGGGGAGGAGGGGUGGGGAAGAGAGGAGGCUUGGAGGCGAGAAAGAUGGUGGAAUAAGAUGGACAUCACUACCCUAAGUACACGUAUGACUGCACAUACGGUACAACACUAUAUCAUGUACAACUGAGUACUGAAAAGUUGUGCUGCAAUUGUAUACAAUGAAUCAAAAUGCAUUCUGCUGUCAUGGAUACCUAAUUAGAAUAAAUAAAU